Molecule: non-coding RNA, 45 nt
Filed under: Schistosoma curassoni
Lineage: Eukaryota; Metazoa; Platyhelminthes; Trematoda; Strigeidida; Schistosomatidae
Source: RNAcentral
AUUCAACUGACGAGUCCUAAAUAGGACGAAACGCAUGUCCUAGAU